CACUAGGGAGCUAUAUACCAGCAUUGGGCUUUUAACCCAAAGAAAGUUAUACUUAACUUCUAGUGA
RNAcentral lists this transfer RNA (66 nucleotides) under Cryptonome barbada. RNAcentral's name for it is "tRNA-Lys". The record is from RNAcentral. Lineage: Eukaryota; Metazoa; Annelida; Polychaeta; Eunicida; Amphinomidae.